UUAAUUGAAGCCAAAUUUGAGGCUUCUUAUUGUUAAUAAGAAAAUUGAUUUUUAAUCCAAUUAAA
RNAcentral lists this transfer RNA (65 nucleotides) under Urolabida histrionica. Its description in RNAcentral is "tRNA-Asn". Lineage: Eukaryota; Metazoa; Arthropoda; Insecta; Hemiptera; Urostylididae. The record is from RNAcentral.